AGUGAGCGCUGGCGGUAGGCCUAACACAUGCAAGUCGAACGGCAGCACAGUAAGAGCUUGCUCUUACGGGUGGCGAGUGGCGGACGGGUGAGGAAUACAUCGGAAUCUACUUUUUCGUGGGGGAUAACGUAGGGAAACUUACGCUAAUACCGCAUACGACCUACGGGUGAAAGUAGGGGAUCUUCGGACCUUGCGCGAUUGAAUGAGCCGAUGUCGGAUUAGCUAGUUGGCGGGGUAAAGGCCCACCAAGGCGACGAUCCGUAGCUGGUCUGAGAGGAUGAUCAGCCACACUGGAACUGAGACACGGUCCAGACUCCUACGGGAGGCAGCAGUGGGGAAUAUUGGACAAUGGGCGCAAGCCUGAUCCAGCCAUACCGCGUGGGUGAAGAAGGCCUUCGGGUUGUAAAGCCCUUUUGUUGGGAAAGAAAAGCAGCAGGUUAAUACCCCGCUGUUCUGACGGUACCCAAAGAAUAAGCACCGGCUAACUUCGUG
RNAcentral lists this ribosomal RNA (492 nucleotides) under uncultured bacterium. Its description in RNAcentral is "partial 16S ribosomal RNA". It matches the Rfam family "Bacterial small subunit ribosomal RNA", at positions 29 to 507 of the family's 1533-position model. The record is from RNAcentral.